RNAcentral lists this ribosomal RNA (253 nucleotides) under uncultured bacterium. RNAcentral's name for it is "partial 16S ribosomal RNA". It matches the Rfam family "Bacterial small subunit ribosomal RNA", at positions 524 to 776 of the family's 1533-position model. The record is from RNAcentral.
UACGAAGGUGGCAAGCGUUACUCGGAAUUACUAGGCGUAAAGGGCAGGUAGGUGGUUUAGUAAGUCUGUUGUUAAAGCUCCCGGCUUAACCGGGAGAGGUCAACGGAAACUGCUAGGCUUGAGUAUAGGAGAGGGUACUGGAAUUCCUGGUGUAGCGGUGAAAUGCGCAGAUAUCAGGAGGAACACCGAUGGCGAAAGCAGGUACCUGGACUAUUACUGACACUCAGCUGCGAAAGCUAGGGGAGCAAACAGG